RNAcentral lists this ribosomal RNA (253 nucleotides) under uncultured bacterium. Its description in RNAcentral is "partial 16S ribosomal RNA". It matches the Rfam family "Bacterial small subunit ribosomal RNA", at positions 524 to 776 of the family's 1533-position model. The record is from RNAcentral.
UACGUAGGGGGCAAGCGUUGUCCGGAAUCACUGGGCGUAAAGGGCGCGUAGGUGGCGACCCAAGUCGAUGGUGAAAGCUCGCCGCUCAACGGCGAGUCGGCCACCGAUACUGGGUUGCUGGAGCACUGUAGAGGCUCAUGGAAUUCCGGGUGUAGCGGUGGAAUGCGUAGAGAUCCGGAAGAACACCGGUGGCGAAGGCGGUGAGCUGGGCAGUUGCUGACACUGAGGCGCGACAGCGUGGGGAGCAAACAGG